AUUGAACGCUGGCGGCAUGCCUUACACAUGCAAGUCGAACGGCAGCACGGGUGCUUGCACCUGGUGGCGAGUGGCGAACGGGUGAGUAAUACAUCGGCACAUGUCCUGUAGUGGGGGAUAGCCCGGCGAAAGCCGGAUUAAUACCGCAUACGAUCUACGGAUGAAAGCGGGGGACCUUCGGGCCUCGCGCUAUAGGGUUGGCCGAUGGCUGAUUAGCUAGUUGGUGGGGUAAAGGCCUACCAAGGCGACGAUCAGUAGCUGGUCUGAGAGGACGACCAGCCACACUGGGACUGAGACACGGCCCAGACUCCUACGGGAGGCAGCAGUGGGGAAUGUUGGACAAUGGGCGAAAGCCUGAUCCAGCAAUGCCGCGUGUGUGAAGAAGGCCUUCGGGUUGUAAAGCACUUUUGUCCGGAAAGAAAACCUGGGCCCUAAUACGGUCGGGGGAUGACGGUACCGGAAGAAUAAGCACCGGCUAACUACGUG
Molecule: ribosomal RNA, 486 nt
Filed under: uncultured bacterium
Lineage: Bacteria
Description: partial 16S ribosomal RNA
Rfam family: Bacterial small subunit ribosomal RNA
Source: RNAcentral